AACGAACGCUGGCGGCAUGCCUAACACAUGCAAGUCGAACGAGACCUUCGGGUCUAGUGGCGCACGGGUGCGUAACGCGUGGGAACCUGCCCUUAGGUUCGGAAUAACUCCCCGAAAGGGGUGCUAAUACCGGAUAAUGUCUUCGGACCAAAGAUUUAUCGCCUUUGGAUGGGCCCGCGUUGGAUUCGCUAGUUGGUAGGGUAAAAGCCUACCAAGGCGACGAUCCAUAGCUGGUCUGAGAGGAUGAUCAGCCACACUGGGACUGAGACACGGCCCAGACUCCUACGGGAGGGGGGAGUGGGGGAUAGUGGACAAUGGGGGAAGGCCUGAUGGAGCAAGGCCGGGUGAGUGAUGAAGGCGGUAGGGUUGUAAAGCGCUUGUACCCGGGAUGAUAAUGACGGUACCGGGAGAAUAAGCGCCGGCUAACUCCGUG
RNAcentral lists this ribosomal RNA (433 nucleotides) under uncultured bacterium. RNAcentral describes it as "partial 16S ribosomal RNA". It matches the Rfam family "Bacterial small subunit ribosomal RNA", at positions 29 to 507 of the family's 1533-position model. The record is from RNAcentral.